Molecule: unclassified non-coding RNA, 362 nt
Filed under: fungal sp.
Lineage: Eukaryota; Fungi
Description: partial internal transcribed spacer region
Source: RNAcentral
AAGUCGUAACAAUAACACGUAUCCAACGUUAAACCCCCCGUGAAUAUUAAUCGUGCUCUUGCAUCCUCCCAAUCAGCAAUCUCUGGUAAAUCACGUCGAACGGUUUGAUUCAGAGACCUCCGCGUUGUGGAUGACUGCUGACGCUAGGAUCAGUGGUUUGGUUUCCCCUCAAACCACUUCAAUGAAUGACAGCGUCAUUGAAGUGUGAUGGGGAGGUCGCUUAACGCACGCUGUAGGCUCACACGAGCCGGCGUCCAAAUCACCGGACGCAAGCCCCCCUAAAACCCCAUGUCAGCGUAGGCCCUUCUGUCGUGGUUGGACGUAAAAACGAACAACUGUUAACAAUGGAUAUCUUGGUUCUC